GAUGAACGCUGGCGGCGUGCCUAAUACAUGCAAGUCGAGCGAACGGACGAGAAGCUUGCUUCUCUGAUGUUAGCGGCGGACGGGUGAGUAACACGUGGAUAACCUACCUAUAAGACUGGGAUAACUUCGGGAAACCGGAGCUAAUACCGGAUAAUAUUUUGAACCGCAUGGUUCAAAAGUGAAAGACGGUCUUGCUGUCACUUAUAGAUGGAUCCGCGCUGCAUUAGCUAGUUGGUAAGGUAACGGCUUACCAAGGCAACGAUGCAUAGCCGACCUGAGAGGGUGAUCGGCCACACUGGAACUGAGACACGGUCCAGACUCCUACGGGAGGCAGCAGUAGGGAAUCUUCCGCAAUGGGCGAAAGCCUGACGGAGCAACGCCGCGUGAGUGAUGAAGGUCUUCGGAUCGUAAAACUCUGUUAUUAGGGAAGAACAUAUAUGUAAGUAACUGUGCACAUCUUGACGGUACCUAAUCAGAAAGCCACGGCUAACUACGUGCCAGCAGCCGCGGUAAUACGUAGGUGGCAAGCGUUAUCCGGAAUUAUUGAGCGUAAAGCGCGCGUAGGCGGUUUUUUAAGUCUGAUGUGAAAGCCCACGGCUCAACCGUGGAGGGUCAUUGGAAACUGGAAAACUUGAGUGCAGAAGAGGAAAGUGGAAUUCCAUGUGUAGCGGUGAAAUGCGCAGAGAUAUGGAGGAACACCAGUGGCGAAGGCGACUUUCUGGUCUGUAACUGACGCUGAUGUGCGAAAGCGUGGGGAUCGAACAGGAUUAGAUACCCUGGUAGUCCACGCCGUAAACGAUGAGUGCUAAGUGUUAGGGGGUUUCCGCCCCUUAGUGCUGCAGCUAACGCAUUAAGCACUCCGCCUGGGGAGUACGACCGCAAGGUUGAAACUCAAAGGAAUUGACGGGGACCCGCACAAGCGGUGGAGCAUGUGGUUUAAUUCGAAGCAACGCGAAGAACCUUACCAAAUCUUGACAUCCUUUGACAACUCUAGAGAUAGAGCUUUCCCCUUCGGGGGACAAAGUGACAGGUGGUGCAUGGUUGUCGUCAGCUCGUGUCGUGAGAUGUUGGGUUAAGUCCCGCAACGAGCGCAACCCUUAAGCUUAGUUGCCAUCAUUAAGUUGGGCACUCUAAGUUGACUGCCGGUGACAAACCGGAGGAAGGUGGGGAUGACGUCAAAUCAUCAUGCCCCUUAUGAUUUGGGCUACACACGUGCUACAAUGGACAAUACAAAGGGCAGCGAAACCGCGAGGUCAAGCAAAUCCCAUAAAGUUGUUCUCAGUUCGGAUUGUAGUCUGCAACUCGACUACAUGAAGCUGGAAUCGCUAGUAAUCGUAGAUCAGCAUGCUACGGUGAAUACGUUCCCGGGUCU
RNAcentral lists this ribosomal RNA (1372 nucleotides) under uncultured bacterium. RNAcentral describes it as "bacterial SSU rRNA". It matches the Rfam family "Bacterial small subunit ribosomal RNA", at positions 28 to 1381 of the family's 1533-position model. The record is from RNAcentral.